UACAGAGGCCUCGAGCGUUGUUCGGAAUUACUGGGCGUAAAGAGAAUGUAGGUGGUCAUGUAAGUCAGAUGUGAAAGCCCUGGGCUUAACCUGGGAAGUGCAUUUGAUACUGCUUGGCUGGAGUGCGAGAGAGGAAAGCGGAAUUCCAGGUGUAGGAGUGAAAUCCGUAGAUAUCUGGAGGAAUACCGAUGGUGAAGCCAGCUUUCUGGCUCGUUACUGACACUGAGAUUCGAAAGCAUGGGUAGCAAACAGG
Molecule: ribosomal RNA, 253 nt
Filed under: uncultured bacterium
Lineage: Bacteria
Description: partial 16S ribosomal RNA
Rfam family: Bacterial small subunit ribosomal RNA
Source: RNAcentral